Gasterosteus aculeatus aculeatus (three-spined stickleback) is the source of this 1265-nucleotide non-coding RNA. The record is from RefSeq and is a predicted model, not a curated record. Lineage: Eukaryota; Metazoa; Chordata; Actinopteri; Perciformes; Gasterosteidae.
GUGCUUGUCAACAGGAGAAGGAGUUCACGGUGAAGAGCAGCCGCCACACCGAAGCGACACAGCGGGAUGCUGCGUGCGUAAAGACUCCUCCUCCUCCUUUAGGUCCAGCCUGCUCCGUUCAGUGUGUCAUCUCUAUGGUUUCUCAGGUCAGGAUCAUGAUCAGACUCCUGGUGCAUUUAGCAGCUCUGCGGUUCUGUUUAUCAGAACCCUCAAAGAACAGUGUUGCUCAGAGUCCCGGUGCUCUGAUCAAACACCCCGGAGAAGAAGUCCGGAUAGAUUGUAACCACUCGAACACGGAUUUCAAUAUGAUCCAGUGGUACAAACAGUCUGCCGGGGAGAGCGACAUGCUCCUGGUUGGCUACGUACGAUUCAACUUCCCGGUCUUGGAAGCUCCGUUCAAGGACUCGUACAACGUGAGCGGUAACGGGGGAAGUCGCGCUUGUCUCCACAUCCCAAAGCCGGGUGUCCCGGAGGACGGGGCCGUGUACUUCUGCGCUGCCAGUAGAGCACAGUGCUGCACAGCUCCGAGUCUUUGACACAAAACACACACCAUAAACCACAGAAGGGGUGACUGACGUAUCACACAGCUGGAGUCUUAUUUCAUGCUGCAGUGAGAGGAGUCGGUUUAGGUCUAUUUUUUUUUUAUCGCGUUGAUCGAUCGGUGAGUGAUCAAUUAAUCGGUUAAUCAGAGGAAGGUCACACGCGAUUCACAGAAAUCACACGAUUUCAUCAAGGCAUUGAAAAAUGUAUUAAACUUUCAAUAAAAGUACAGCUCAUUGUUAUUUCUCAUUAUAUAAAUCACUUUCUAUAUAUAUAAAUGUUUAAUCAAAACAUUUGAUGAGUAUAUAUCUAUUGUUCCAGUAGGUGGCGCAGGAGCUGCAGAAAUACUCUUGAGUUCAACACAUGCAGCAGUAUUAAAACAUGAUAUGUAAAAUGGGAUGGGAGGGUAAUGAAGGGUUUUCUUUGCAGCUUCCGUCUUUGUCAGUUGACGUAUCAGCUCAUGUUGUGACGUCAUAGCAGCUCACGUCUGAAAGGCUCUUCACGCACUGUGAUAAGUCAUGAAAGGAGCUUUGAGAGUCUUUAUUUUAGUCAAAAUGAUCUGCUUUCUCCUCUUCUGUUGUCUGGCAGGGUGUCUGGGUCUAGAUGUCCGUCAGUCCGUCUCAGAUCUCAUCAUGAAACCUGGGGACGAAGAGCAGAUUUCCUGCAGCCAUGACAGGACCGACUACAGACAGAUGCUCUGGUACCAGCAGUCCCCUGGAGACACG